AAAUACGCGGCGGUCUCUCCUCCCAGAUCCCGUCGCACCCUAAAAUUGUCGGGCCUCUCCUCCUCCCUGGUUCCGACAAUUGCAAAGGCGGCGGUCCCAUCCUCCCGGGGCCGCCGUUUUUU
RNAcentral lists this small RNA (122 nucleotides) under Pseudosulfitobacter pseudonitzschiae. Its description in RNAcentral is "Sulfitobacter pseudonitzschiae Alphaproteobacterial ar14". It matches the Rfam family "Alphaproteobacterial ar14". Rfam says of the family: Smr14C2 was renamed NfeR1 (Nodule Formation Efficiency RNA) highly expressed in salt stress and during the symbiotic interaction on legume roots. Lineage: Bacteria; Pseudomonadati; Pseudomonadota; Alphaproteobacteria; Rhodobacterales; Roseobacteraceae. The record is from Rfam by way of RNAcentral.